GAAAGAUGUGCUAAUACCGCGUAAGACCACAGCCUCACAUGGGGCAGGGGUCAAAGGAGCAAUCCGGAUAAAGAUGGGCUCGCGUCCGAUUAGCUAGUUGGUGAGAUAACAGCCCACCAAGGCGACGAUCGGUAGCCGACCUGAGAGGGUGAUCGGCCACAUUGGAACUGAGAGACGGUCCAGACUCCUACGGGAGGCAGCAGUGGGGAAUAUUGGGCAAUGGGCGAAAGCCUGACCCAGCAACGCCGCGUGAGGGAAGAAGGGUUUCGGCUCGUAAACCUCUGUCCUACGGGACGAAGGAAGUGACGGUACCAUAGGAGGAAGCCCCGGCUAACUACGUGCCAGCAGCCGCGGUAAUACGUAGGGGGCGAGCGUUGUCCGGAAUGAUUGGGCGUAAAGGGCGCGUAGGCGGCCUGCUAAGUCUGAAGUGAAAGUCCUGCUUUCAAGGUGGGAAGUGCCUUGGAUACUGGUGGGCUGGAGUGCAGGAGAGGAAAGCGGAAUUACCGGUGUAGCGGUGAAAUGCGUAGAGAUCGGUAGGAACACCAGUGGCGAAGGCGGCUUUCUGGACUGAAACUGACGCUGAGGCGCGAAAGCGUGGGGAGCAAACAGGAUUAGAUACCCUGGUAGUCCACGCGGUAAACGAUGAAUGCUAGGUGUAGGAGGUAUCGACCCCUUCUGUGCC
RNAcentral lists this ribosomal RNA (682 nucleotides) under uncultured bacterium. RNAcentral describes it as "bacterial SSU rRNA". It matches the Rfam family "Bacterial small subunit ribosomal RNA", at positions 153 to 847 of the family's 1533-position model. The record is from RNAcentral.